UGUUCGUUGUUCUUCUCUCUUUCUUGAAGGAGUGAAGUUCACUUUUGUUCGUUUUUCUUUUCAAGAGAAAGUGAUGGCAGCUGAAGAAGCGAAGAUUCUUGAUGGUAAGGCCAUCUCUAAGGAGAUUCUGUCUGAGA
RNAcentral lists this non-coding RNA (137 nucleotides) under Paramoeba aestuarina. Lineage: Eukaryota; Discosea; Flabellinia; Dactylopodida; Paramoebidae. The record is from RNAcentral.